GGGGAAUCUUCCGCAAUGGACGAAAGUCUGACGGAGCAACGCCGCGUGAGUGAUGACGGCCUUCGGGUUGUAAAGCUCUGUUAAUCGGGACGAAUGGUUCUUGUGCGAAUAGUGCGAGGAUUUGAUGGUACCGGAAUAGAAAGCCACGGCUAACUACGUGCCAGCAGCCGCGGUAAUACGUAGGUGGCAAGCGUUGUCCGGAAUUAUUGGGCGUAAAGCGCGCGCAGGCGGAUUGGUCAGUCUGUCUUAAAAGUUCGGGGCUUAACCCCGUGAUGGGAUGGAAACUGCCAAUCUAGAGUAUCGGAGAGGAAAGUGGAAUUCCUAGUGUAGCGGUGAAAUGCGUAGAUAUUAGGAAGAACACCAGUGGCGAAGGCGACUUUCUGGACGAAAACUGACGCUGAGGCGCGAAAGCCAGGGGAGCGAACGGGAUUAGAUACCCCGGUAGUCCUGGCCGUAAACGAUGGGUACUAGGUGUAGGAGGUAUCGACCCCUUCUGUGCCGGAGUUAUCGCAAUAAGUACCCCGCCUGGGGAGUACGACCGCAAGGUUG
This 549-nucleotide ribosomal RNA is filed under the name uncultured bacterium. Its description in RNAcentral is "bacterial SSU rRNA". It matches the Rfam family "Bacterial small subunit ribosomal RNA", at positions 356 to 896 of the family's 1533-position model. The record is from RNAcentral.